This 728-nucleotide ribosomal RNA is filed under the name uncultured zygomycete. Its description in RNAcentral is "SSU rRNA". It matches the Rfam family "Eukaryotic small subunit ribosomal RNA", at positions 402 to 1142 of the family's 1831-position model. Lineage: Eukaryota; Fungi. The record is from RNAcentral.
AACGGCUACCACAUCCAAGGAAGGCAGCAGGCGCGCAAAUUACCCAAUCCCGAUACGGGGAGGUAGUGACAAUAAAUAACAAUACAGGGCUUUCUAGUCUUGUAAUUGGAAUGAGUACAAUUUAAAUCUCUUAACGAGGAACAAUUGGAGGGCAAGUCUGGUGCCAGCAGCCGCGGUAAUUCCAGCUCCAAUAGCGUAUAUUAAAGUUGUUGCAGUUAAAAAGCUCGUAGUUGAAUUUUAGGCCUGGUUGGACGGUCUGCCUUUGGUUUGUACUGUCCUGACUGGGUCUUACCUUCUGGUGAGCUGUCGUGUUGUUUACUCAGCGCGGCAGGGAACCAGGACUUUUACUUUGAAAAAAUUAAAGUGUUUAAAGCAGGCAUUCGCUUGAAUACAUUAGCAUGGAAUAAUAGAAUAGGACUUUGGUUCUAUUUUGUUGGUUUCUAGGACCGAAGUAAUGAUUAAUAGGGAUAGUUGGGGGCAUUAGUAUUUAAUUGUCAGAGGUGAAAUUCUUGGAUUUAUGAAAGACUAACUUCUGCGAAAGCAUUUGCCAAGGAUGUUUUCAUUAAUCAAGAACGAAAGUUAGGGGAUCGAAGACGAUCAGAUACCGUCGUAGUCUUAACCAUAAACUAUGCCGACUAGGGAUCAGACAAGGAUUUAUUGACUUGUUUGGCACCUUAUGAGAAAUCAAAGUUUUUGGGUUCCGGGGGAGUAUGGUCGCAAGGCUGAAA